Non-coding RNA from Ciona intestinalis (vase tunicate), 47 nucleotides. NCBI's taxonomy places the organism in Eukaryota, Metazoa, Chordata, Ascidiacea, Phlebobranchia, Cionidae. The record is from Rfam.
AAAACGGCUCUUUUCAGAGCCACCCGAUAUUAAAAUGAGAUCAUUUU